RNAcentral lists this transfer RNA (71 nucleotides) under Anaerolineae bacterium. Its description in RNAcentral is "tRNA-Gln". It matches the Rfam family "tRNA". From Rfam's summary of the family: Transfer RNA (tRNA) molecules are approximately 80 nucleotides in length. Their secondary structure includes four short double-helical elements and three loops (D, anti-codon, and T loops). Further hydrogen bonds mediate the characteristic L-shaped molecular structure. tRNAs have two regions of fundamental functional importance: the anti-codon, which is responsible for specific mRNA codon recognition, and the 3' end, to which the tRNAs corresponding amino acid is attached (by aminoacyl-tRNA synthetases). tRNAs cope with the degeneracy of the genetic code in two manners: having more than one tRNA (with a specific anti-codon) for a particular amino acid; and 'wobble' base-pairing, i.e. permitting non-standard base-pairing at the 3rd anti-codon position. The record is from RNAcentral. Lineage: Bacteria; Bacillati; Chloroflexota; Anaerolineae. RNAcentral also lists the same sequence under 1 other name.
UGAGGGGUAGUUUAACGGCAGAACCGUCGGCUCUGACCCGACUAGUCGUGGUUCGAAUCCACGCCCCUCAG